This 252-nucleotide ribosomal RNA is filed under the name uncultured bacterium. Its description in RNAcentral is "partial 16S ribosomal RNA". It matches the Rfam family "Bacterial small subunit ribosomal RNA", at positions 524 to 776 of the family's 1533-position model. The record is from RNAcentral.
UACGUAGGGUGCAAGCGUUAAUCGGAAUACUGGGCGUAAAGCGUGCGCAGGCGGUGAUGUAAGACAGAUGUGAAAUCCCCGGGCUUAACCUGGGAAUGGCCUUUGUGACUGCACGGCUAGAGUGUGUCAGAGGGGGGUAGAAUUCCACGUGUAGCAGUGAAAUGCGUAGAGAUGUGGAGGAAUACCGAUGGCGAAGGCAGCCCCCUGGGAUAACACUGACGCUCAUGCACGAAAGCGUGGGGAGCAAACAGG